This 256-nucleotide ribosomal RNA is filed under the name uncultured bacterium. RNAcentral describes it as "partial 16S ribosomal RNA". It matches the Rfam family "Bacterial small subunit ribosomal RNA", at positions 111 to 354 of the family's 1533-position model. The record is from RNAcentral.
UAACGCGUGGAGAACCUGCCGUAUACUGGGGGAUAACACUUAGAAAUAGGUGCUAAUACCGCAUAAGCGCACAGCUUCGCAUGAAGCAGUGUGGAAAACAAAAGCUAAAGCUUUUGGUGGUAUACGAUGGAUCCGCGUCUGAUUAGCUAGUUGGCGGGGUAAAGGCCCACCAAGGCGACGAUCAGUAGCCGGCCUGAGAGGGUGAACGGCCACAUUGGGACUGAGACACGGCCCAAACUCCUACGGGAGGCAGCAG